RNAcentral lists this transfer RNA (73 nucleotides) under Stegodyphus mimosarum. It matches the Rfam family "tRNA". From Rfam's summary of the family: Transfer RNA (tRNA) molecules are approximately 80 nucleotides in length. Their secondary structure includes four short double-helical elements and three loops (D, anti-codon, and T loops). The record is from Rfam by way of RNAcentral. Lineage: Eukaryota; Metazoa; Arthropoda; Arachnida; Araneae; Eresidae.
GCCUUCGUGGUGUAGUGAUCAGCACACUCGAUGCAUAACCGAGAGGUCCGUAGUUCGAUUCCCGGCGAAGGCG